RNAcentral lists this ribosomal RNA (225 nucleotides) under uncultured bacterium. RNAcentral describes it as "partial 16S ribosomal RNA". It matches the Rfam family "Bacterial small subunit ribosomal RNA", at positions 524 to 745 of the family's 1533-position model. The record is from RNAcentral.
UACAGAGGGGGCAAGGCGUUGUUCGGAAUUACUGGGCGUAAAGGGCGCGUAGGCGGCCUGCUAAGUCGAACGUGAAAUCCCCGGGCUCAACCCGGGAACUGCGUCCGAUACUGGUUGGCUUGAAUCCGGGAGAGGGAUGCGGAAUUCCAGGGUGUAGCGGUGAAAUGCGUAGAUAUCUGGAGGAACACCGGUGGCGAAGGCGGCAUCCUGGACCGGCAUUGACUG